This 467-nucleotide ribosomal RNA is filed under the name uncultured bacterium. RNAcentral describes it as "partial 16S ribosomal RNA". It matches the Rfam family "Bacterial small subunit ribosomal RNA", at positions 28 to 506 of the family's 1533-position model. The record is from RNAcentral.
GACGAACGCUGGCGGCGUGCUUAACACAUGCAAGUCGAACGGAAAGGCCCUGCUUUUGUGGGGUGCUCGAGUGGCGAACGGGUGAGUAACACGUGAGUAACCUGCCCUUGACUUUGGGAUAACUUCAGGAAACUGGGGCUAAUACCGGAUAGGAGCUCCUGCUGCAUGGUGGGGGUUGGAAAGUUUCGGCGGUUGGGGAUGGACUCGCGGCUUAUCAGCUUGUUGGUGGGGUAGUGGCUUACCAAGGCUUUGUCGGGUAGCCGGCCUGAGAGGGUGACCGGCCACAUUGGGACUGAGAUACGGCCCAGACUCCUACGGGAGGCAGCAGUGGGGAAUAUUGCACAAUGGGCGGAAGCCUGAUGCAGCAACGCCGCGUGCGGGAUGACGGCCUUCGGGUUGUAAACCGCUUUCGCCUGUGACGAAGCGUGAGUGACGGUAAUGGGUAAAGAAGCACCGGCUAACUACGU